GAUCAUCGCUUAGGAUGAACGCUAGCGACAGGCUUAACACAUGCAAGUCGAGGGGCAGCGAGGGAGUGGCAACACUUCUGUCGGCGACCGGCGCACGGGUGAGUAACGCGUAUGCAACCUGCCCUUCACAGGGGGAUAACCGGGAGAAAUUCCGACUAAUACCGCAUACGUCCUUUGGGGGCAUCCCCUGGGGAUGAAAGAGUUAUCGGUGAAGGAUGGGCAUGCGUGAUAUUAGGUAGUUGGCGGGG
This 248-nucleotide ribosomal RNA is filed under the name uncultured bacterium. RNAcentral describes it as "partial 16S ribosomal RNA". It matches the Rfam family "Bacterial small subunit ribosomal RNA", at positions 15 to 257 of the family's 1533-position model. The record is from RNAcentral.